CCUACGGGAGGCAGCAGUGAGGAAUAUUGGUCAAUGGGCGGAAGCCUGAACCAGCCAAGUAGCGUGCGGGAUGAAGGCCCUACGGGUCGUAAACCGCUGUUGCGCGGGGAUAACACCCACCACUUGUGGAGGUCUGCAGAUACCGUGCGAAUAAGGGCCGGCUAAUUCCGUGCCAGCAGCCGCGGUAAUACGGAAGUCCCGAGCGUUAUCCGGAUUCAUUGGGCUUAAAGGUCGCGUGGGCGGGCGUUCAAGUCAGCUGUAAACUAGCGCGGCUCAACCGCGCCCCGCAGUUGAAACGGGACGCCUUGAGUUCACAACAGGCAGGCGGAAUUCGUGGUGUAGCGGUGAAAUGCUUAGAUAUGACGAAGAACCCCGAUUGCGAAGGCAGCUUGCUGCAGCGGAACUGACGCUGAUGCUCGAAAGCGCGGGGAUCGAACAGGAUUAGAUACCCCAGUAGUC
This 459-nucleotide ribosomal RNA is filed under the name uncultured bacterium. RNAcentral describes it as "partial 16S ribosomal RNA". It matches the Rfam family "Bacterial small subunit ribosomal RNA", at positions 338 to 795 of the family's 1533-position model. The record is from RNAcentral.